Molecule: ribosomal RNA, 445 nt
Filed under: uncultured bacterium
Lineage: Bacteria
Description: bacterial SSU rRNA
Rfam family: Bacterial small subunit ribosomal RNA
Source: RNAcentral
AACGAACGCUGGCGGCAGGCCUAACACAUGCAAGUCGAACGAGAAGCUUUCCUUCGGGAAAGUGGAAAGUGGCAGACGGGUGAGUAACGCGUGGGAACGUGCCUUUCGGUUCGGAAUAACUCAGGGAAACUUGGGCUAAUACCGGAUACGCCCUUCGGGGGAAAGAUUCAUCGCCGAAAGAUCGGCCCGCGUCGGAUUAGCUUGUUGGUGAGGUAACGGCUCACCAAGGCGACGAUCCGUAGCUGGUCUGAGAGGAUGAUCAGCCACACUGGGACUGAGACACGGCCCAGACUCCUACGGGAGGCAGCAGUGGGGAAUAUUGGACAAUGGGCGCAAGCCUGAUCCAGCCAUGCCGCGUGGGUGAAGAAGGCCCUAGGGUUGUAAAUCCCUUUCAGCGGGGAAGAUAAUGACGGUACCCGCAGAAGAAGCCCCGGCUAACUCCGUG